Molecule: unclassified non-coding RNA, 462 nt
Filed under: Hevea brasiliensis (rubber tree)
Lineage: Eukaryota; Viridiplantae; Streptophyta; Magnoliopsida; Malpighiales; Euphorbiaceae
Source: RNAcentral
GUUGCUAGGUCAAGUGCAGAAACAGAAUAUCGAGCUAUGGCUUUGGCAACUUGUGAACUUAUAUGGUUGAAACAACUUCUCCAAGAGUUGAAGUAUGGGGAACUUAAACAAAUGCAGCUAAUCUGUGACAAUCAAGCUGCACUUCACAUUGCCUCUAAUCCAGUGUUUCAUGAGAGAACGAAACAUAUAGAGGUGGAUUGUCAUUUCAUCAGACAAAAGAUUGAAUCUGGGUGUAUUGCCACUAGCUUUGUUAGCUCAAAUGACCAAUUAGCAGAUAUCCUGACUCUCAAAGGCUCUUGAAUUGAAUAUAUUUGUAACAAGCUUGGAGCAUAUGAUUUGUACGCUCCAGCUUGAGGGGAAGUGUUAAUAUUUGUACCAUAAAUAGUUAGGAUAUUUGUAUCUGUAGUGAUUAUGUGAAUAUAUUUAGGUGCUAAAAUUGUGGCUAUAAUUACGUAUUUAAUU